GGUGCUGCGACUGCCCGUGCACAAGUUCGGAAUACUAGGGUACCCCUACUCUAGUACACCGACAGUAUGUAACUGUAAUUAUAAUUUAGUAAUUAGUACAUAUCCUCGUACAUAAUUUCUGUUGUAUGGAUUAUUUACAGAAUGUGGAUCAUAGGGUUACCAUUUCAAACUUCAUCGAUCUCUCUUUUGAUUUUGUAGGGGUUAGAGCAUACGUUAUUUUCCAGGGUGCUGCAACUGCCCGUGCACAAGUUCGGGAUACUAGGAUACCCCUACUCUAGUACACCGACAAUAUGUAACUGUAAUUAUAAUUUAGUAAUUAGUACAUAUCCUCGUACAUAAUUUCUGUUGUAUGGAUUAUUUACAGAAUGUGGAUCAUAGAGUUACCAUUUCAAACUUCAUCGAUCUCUCUUUUGAUUUUGUAGGGGUUAGAGCAUACGUUAUUUUCUUCAGUGGACAUUCAACCCAACUUAAAAUAUUGUUCCUUCAACACUUCCGUAGCAUGCAUGAUCAAUCAGUGAAGAAAAUUACGAAGGUAGAUGUUAAUCUUAGAGGAUUAGAUGUGCCUUUACCUUCUCAACUUUCUCGGUCAAUUAAACAUCCCAAGCCCAUCAUCAGGCACAAUUUAUAGCAUAGUUUUGUGUGACGAAGCUGAGAUUAUUAUUUUUUGAGAUUGAAUCUAAACAUAAGUCUUGUGCCACAUAUUUGGUCUAUAAUCUUUGGGUUUCUUAAGAUUUCUCAUCCAAUGAGUAGUGAGGGGUCUCACCAUCUGGAGUACUGAUUCAUGAAUUUCCUGGACAAAAUCAUUCUACUGGGUUUAACCUUGUUGGUGUCGGGGCAUCAAUGCCAGGGUGGGGUGUGGCAGAGAAUAAUGGCUGGCUAAUGGAGAAUGGUUGGAUCUGAGGCACAUGACAAAGAGGGCACUGCGUCUAUGGUCCAUGAGAGGCAUGGGUAACGGAGGCAGAUUCAUAUGAGGAGAUCAUGGGAUAAAUAAAUAACAGCAAAAUGUGAGCAGCGUGUGCAGGCGGCCUCUGAGUUGUUGCCCUCAUUGCUAGUGAUGCUGGAUUCCUACCAAAUGUAAGUGCUGAUGAUAAGCAUCAUUCCUAAUGCAUAUUAUGCCUUGUAAUUCCUCCAUGUAGCAAUGUAAAGUAUUUAUUAUUUGUUGUUACCAUGUCCUAGCAAAAAGGCAUUAAUUUGUUAAUUUUAAUUUGGUUCAUAUGUGUCAGUCGACAUACAAUGUUUUUGUAUAUGUGUUGUAGGUGGUGCAUAUGAUAUUGAAGAUCUAUACGUGAUUACUGGAAAGGUUGUGUGAGAUAUACAUGGUUUAAUACCCAGAACAAUAAACUGACAAAAGUGCAUGUCUUUCAAAAAAUUACAAUGUGAACUACUUUUGAUAGUGCUAACAUUCACACCCUUGUAAUCAACUCCCUCCAUCCCAUACUAUAAGAUCAUUUUGCAAGCUAUUUUAGCCUAUAAAAUGAUCUUAUAUUACGGGAUGGAGGGAGUAAUAAAAUAUCCUUCUUGCCAUGGACAUUCUCAAGCAGUGUUACUAUAUCUUCGUAAAUAUCCUUCUUAUCAUGGACGUUGUCAAGUAGUGCUGAUGUAUCUUUGUAAAUACAUAUAGUCUGCCUUAUUAUUAAAUGAUAAGCUACUAAUGUACUAAUUUUCUAUUUAACUUCCUCAUCCUCCUUGUUUUUGUUUCGCCUACUCGUAUAUUGGAACUUACCUGGAACCUCUUCAUUGUGGUAAAGUAAAUAUAAAUUUUAAAAACAUAUUUCUAGAAAUCUAGAAGUGUAUAUAAUGAUAAAAUUAAUCACCUUUAUAUCUGGAAUGUUUUGCUUGUUUAUUUAAUGAUUUAACACGGUGUCCGCCUCAUCAUCCGUCAAUUCCAAUAUAUGUAAGAUGAAUUAUAUAGGGAAUUCUAUAAUUAAAUGCACCUUUACCUCCUCAGCUUUACCGUGCAAGUAGAGUAUCUCUAGCCUACCGUCAUGCAUAAUUGUUCUUCUAAUUGCCAAAAGGUUAUAUUACUAUCAUCGAGCUUUAACCCAAAUAUAUGUCUCCUAGCAAAAAGUUGUAUCAUCCAACACUUCAUCAGAUUUCCCAUCGACUGAGUUCAGUAAGCUAGAUGUACUAAGCAAUAUUGCAGCCUCCUCGUUAUAUAAAUUGCAGUUUGUAGUAGCUAUGUUGUCACUGAUUUGGAGUCGAGUACGGUACCUACUGUACCAUUCAUAUUAGUCAAGAGUAAGUAUAAUAUAAUAGUUGUCCAUAUGAGUGAUAUGCUUACCUUGGUGUUACCCUUUUUUGAUAUAUACCACAACUCUUGCAAUAGUAUGUGUCAGUUUUCUUGGUAGCAAGUUUGUGACAAUCAUCACAUCACAUGUACCACCAUUAAAUAUCUUCUUGUAACUGAUCUAUUAUAGCUAUUGUUGUGAACACAAAAAUCUAAAUAUCUUAAAACCUCAAGAAAUUGAAAGACACAAAUAAUUCAACUAAAUCUCAUUAUAACUAAUAUUACAGGUCUCAGAGACUCGUUAUCCAGGAAGAGUGAUGAUAGCAUACAUUGGAACUCGUACCUGAUUUCUCCGGAUUCAUGUAUCACUCUAGUAAGUUCUUGUAAUGUUCUCUGCCUAUAAAACAUUUGUUCUUCUAGUGUUCCUUGAGUACUAUAUCUAUGCUGACCUUUUUAGUGAAAUUAUUUCUGCCGAGUGCCUAUGUGGAUUAAAUAAGAAUGGUUGAUCUUUGCUUCAGCUUGACUUUGAUGCAAGUACACUUAAGUUUUUAUCACAAUCAUUAUAAAUAUAAUAAGAGGUGCAGAUAUUUUUGUUGGCAUUGAAGGAUGUCAUGGAUCGGUUGCCUUCCUGGACCUCACAAUGUUGUUGCCUUCAAAACUAUCUUAAAAAGUAUUUGUUUACAGUGUAUGUAUGAAAGCUUAUUACAAAUUUAGACAUUUUUGUAGGAGAUUAGAAAUAGAAAUGAAGACUUGUUCAGAUGGAAACAUCUAAACACACAUGAGUCAGCAAAGAUAUUACCUAAAUUAAUUUGAUGGCUUGUUGUCUGCCUUCUUUUGAUGCUGGGUGCCAAGACGGCAAGACGUCACAGGAGCGUACUGGAUGCAUCGUGUCUUUGAUCCUCCGGCAUGACGGAAAGCAUACUGGAUAGCCUGCAGUCAUGGUUUCGAUCUACCGGGCGUUCGAGCAUAGCUUGUGUGUUCAAACCCAUCAUGUUUCAGCGCAUGCAUUGGGUGUUUUCUCUCCUUCAUGUGUUACGACAUCCUUGUAUAAUUGUGUUUGUAGAUGCCUAUGCUUGAAAGAAAUCAAUCAAGCCAUAUGAAAAUCAAGUAGAAAAUAAUUGACCAGAUUGUACUUUGCCUUUGAUAGACGUGCACGUGACGGACUUGUAUACAUCUAUCUAGGCAGGUUGACUGGUUCUAGUACAUGGAUGCCUAUAUGACGAUGAGUCCUGGCUUGCAUUGUAGUAGUAUACUUCUUGGGUCGCGCUAACUGUCACACGUGUGGUAGGAAGGGAGACGCACCACACAUCUCUAAUGUAAACAGAUUGCCAC
This 3559-nucleotide long non-coding RNA is filed under the name Triticum aestivum (bread wheat). RNAcentral's name for it is "long non-coding RNA (TAES_LNC027390)". The record is from RNAcentral. Lineage: Eukaryota; Viridiplantae; Streptophyta; Magnoliopsida; Poales; Poaceae.